Long non-coding RNA from Equus quagga, 784 nucleotides. RefSeq lists it as uncharacterized. The record is from RefSeq and is a predicted model, not a curated record. NCBI's taxonomy places the organism in Eukaryota, Metazoa, Chordata, Mammalia, Perissodactyla, Equidae. The transcript has 2 exons.
CUAACUAUAACUUAGAUGCGUCAGUUUGAAGUGCCUGUGGGAGCCUAGUGGCUGAGCCCAGCAAUGAUGGGAACUUAAGGCAAGAAGGAGCACCCAGGACAGACAGCCUUUGCACCAUCCUAGCAAGACAACUCUACAAGAAGCAGAAUCUCCCAGCUCCCUGGUACAUGUGGCCAAGUCUCUAACUGCUGACCAAUGGGAAAUAGAUGAAACUGUCGUGCCUUUUCAGUAAACUUCCUCAAAGAAAGCGGAAGCAUACCCUUUGCCCCCUUCUUCUCCAUCCUUUCGUCCUUUCUGCUGCUUGGACCUUGGAUGUGAUGGCUUGAACUCUAACCACCAUCUUGGACCCUGAGGACACAGGCCUCACUCGAGAGGUGGCAGAGCAGUGAGUUGAAGGAUCCAAGACUUUGUGAAACAGAAUUUCCAUUUGGUCCUGCACUGCCCAACUCCUGCUUGUACCCAAGAGAGAAAUAAAUGUCUGUCUUGUUUGAGCUACUGUAAUUUGGUUCUCUGUUACUUUCAGCCAGAGCUAAUCUUGAUACAGGUUAUCACAGAGACACUUAGCUAAGAGCAAAGGAUAAAACACGGAUCACCAUGUGCCAGCAGCUUCCCAUACCAUGGAGGCUUCUGUUCCUUUAAGAAAACAAACAAAAAUGGUGCCUCCUUCUCUGUGUUCCUUGUGUAUCUUUAUAGACCCUCCUUUCAUGACAAAAAGCCUGAAGCCCGCAAGUCAGGUGUUGGGUACUCAAUGCCAAUCUAUCGCCAAUAAAGUCAAUAAAACUUA